UAAGAGGAGUGGUUAGCUUCUGCGAAGCUACGAAUCGAAGCCCCAGUAAACGGCGGCCGUAACUAUAACGGUCCUAAGGUAGCGAAAUUCCUUGUCGGGUAAGUUCCGACCCGCACGAAAGGCGUAACGAUUUGGGCACUGUCUCAACGAGAGACUCGGUGAAAUCAUAGUACCUGUGAAGAUGCAGGUUACCCGCGACAGGACGGAAAGACCCCGUGGAGCUUUACUGUAGCCUGAUAUUGAAAUUCGGCAC
Molecule: ribosomal RNA, 253 nt
Filed under: Staphylococcus aureus
Lineage: Bacteria; Bacillati; Bacillota; Bacilli; Caryophanales; Staphylococcaceae
Description: partial 23S ribosomal RNA
Rfam family: Bacterial large subunit ribosomal RNA
Source: RNAcentral